UGCUUAUAUACAUUUUCUUACCUCAGCUUCCAUAUUGCGUAAUCAAGUACCUAAAGGUCAAAAGUUGAAUUCAGCUUCGGAAAAAUCCGGAAACGGUGACGUUGCAUAAUUAAUGAGCACUCCAUGGAAAGAUGACGCUGGAACCGUCUCGAGUUUUUGUUCAAUAGAGUGGGGGGCCCAUAUUCACCGGGGACACAAUUUCGCCGUUUUAUGAUUUUGAGGUGUAAACACUUCAAAGGAUGGCUGAAAUGGAAGAAAUAUGCCAAUAAAUUAUAAUUGUAUAACAAAUAUGAUUAUUUUUUAAACUUAAACCAAAAUUACGGCACUUACUGCAAAAGAUCGAAAAACGGACAACGAUUUUCGGUCAAUUUCCUGAACGAAAAACAGGAUUUUCAUAGAUUUUUUUCUUAGCAUUUUUUUGAUUGAUUGGCCUAAAUUUCUGUUUUUACACCUUUGAAAUGUCUGCUGUUCAUCUAUAAUGAAAUUUAUUUGAUAAAUAUUAUAUAAAGCUGCAGUUAUUUGGUUUUAAAUAGAUGUGUAAAAACGGCGAAUAUGUGUCCCCCAUUGACAAAACUUCAGGAAAUUUCAAACACCUUUUAAUCUAACUUUACAGAUGAUUAUUUUCAAACAAACAUGUUUUCAAGCUUAAGAAUGUUUUGCAUUUGAAGUUAUCUUCAUAUAGAAAUAUCAGUAUACUUCAAAAACAUAUAGACCUGAACAUAAACUGUAGAAAACAUGGAAAGAAAUGGCGAAAAUGAGCACCCCACUCUAC
This 772-nucleotide long non-coding RNA is filed under the name Mytilus galloprovincialis (Mediterranean mussel). Lineage: Eukaryota; Metazoa; Mollusca; Bivalvia; Mytilida; Mytilidae. The record is from RNAcentral.